This 372-nucleotide ribosomal RNA is filed under the name uncultured organism. RNAcentral's name for it is "bacterial SSU rRNA". It matches the Rfam family "Bacterial small subunit ribosomal RNA", at positions 526 to 896 of the family's 1533-position model. The record is from RNAcentral.
CAGAGGGUGCGAGCGUUGUCCGGAAUCACUGGGCGUAAAGGGCGCGUAGGUGGCGCUCCAAGUCUGUGGUGAAAGCUCGAUGCUCAACAUCGAGUCGGCCACGGAGACUGGAGGGCUGGAGCACUGUAGGGGCAGAUGGAAUUCCGGGUGUAGCGGUGGAAUGCGUAGAGAUCCGGAAGAACACCGGUGGCGAAGGCGGUCUGCUGGGCAGUUGCUGACACUGAGGCGCGACAGCGUGGGGAGCAAACAGGAUUAGAUACCCUGGUAGUCCACGCCGUAAACGAUGGGCACUAGAUGCUUGGGGGAGCGACCCCCUGAGUGUCGUCGCUAACGCAGUAAGUGCCCCGCCUGGGGAGUACGGCCGCAAGGCUG